UGAGAUUCUCUUCUAUAGUAUUUUUAGUCUUUGCACUUAUUUGUGUUUCCUUUGAACGCGAGCGACUGAUCCCAACGCAACUCUGCUUUCUCGAUCGCAAAUAAUUAAAUACUUUCUUCUGAUGUCAGAAUCUUACAUAUCCGGCAUAUUCAAGGCAAAGAAAUAAAGUAAAAUCGGUUACGUGCGAAAUGGACAAUCUAUAAACGGAGAAUGAAGGAUAAAGUCGUGCUCGUAUAUACAUAUGUACAUAUACGUAAAUAAUAGAUAUAUAACAACAACGAAUGAGAAUGACGAUUAUCGCGAGAGACACGUUCGUAAUACAAUGCCGUUCGCUUCGUAUCGCGUAAAAGGCUAUUCCCAAGAUAAAAACGAAAAAUGCAAGCAUUUAAGGAAUUAAGUAUUAUAUACACAUCACGUAUGUUACUGGCGACAUUAAUAGCGAGCUUAUAAAAUAUUGUUAUUGCUGUAUAACUCGAGAGGAGAGUUAACCAGAGUGGCCGCGUAAUCGGUAAUUUUAAAUCGUCUUCUUCUACGACUCCUUCCUCUUGUUAAUUUUGCCGAGUUAGGCGAAGAAACGUAACAAGAACGGCACGUAGGAAGGAGCUAGGGCCAAAAAGUCAAGUAUACUAUCGUUAAAGCAGACCGCCGACGCGAAAUAAGAAGAAGAAGAAGAAUAAGAAGAAGAUGACGAUUAUUUUAAAUAAGAGGAACAUUUUCUUUUGAAUCUUUCGAAUCAGUGUACUCAACGAUGCUUCACAGUUUAUGGCAAGAAAAAUAAACAGGUAGACGAGAAGGGAGGAGGCAUUUAAAAAUAGAUGACUCUUCGUCGUUGUUGUCGUCGAUUUUUGUCUGUCGUUGAUUUUUGCCUGUCGUUGAUUUUUGCCUGUCGUCGACGGUCGUCGACGGUCGUCGUCGUUGUCAAGCAAAGAAGAGAUAGAUGAGUACCUUGAUUCCUCGGUGCAUAACCGCGUUCUUACGCAAUUGAUGCGCACGAACUCAACGAAUGUUGAUAGAAAGACAAGCAUACUUUAGUUAAAAAUAAAAUAGGUUAUAAAGGAAGAUAAUCUCAAAACAAAAGUUAAAUAAAAUUAUCUUUUUUUUUCUUUCUCUGUAGAAAAGAAACGUGCGAAUGAGAUUGGAGUAAAGCCAUGUGGUUCGAGUUUAGAAUCGAACGUAACUAAGUACAUAAUUUACCGCCUGUUAUCAAUUUCGAUCGAUCGAGAUCGAAAGUAUUUACGAUGUCUCUGUAUAAUUGCAGAAGGAUAGAUAAAGUUUUUACAUAUCUACGAUUUAUAUCAUUUAAUCCCUAAAACGUAAAAGCGAUAGGAUAGAUUCAAUGACAUAUUUUGCACGGAAAAAGGAACUUAAAUAACUGGCUUAAAUAAAUAGCUGGUUUGUCCCAUUUUGUUAUAAGCCUACCUGGUAUUUUUGUGCACGAAGAAGAAACUUGGACGAAGGGAGGAUGAAAACGAAGACGAAGGAAAACGUUCCUCUCGGCGAAUACAGCCUCCAAGGAAUGAUAUGCGAGAAAUCUCGAAUGCAACUUUCACCGGAUUACUGGCACGCAAAGUCGCACGGCGUCGUCGAACGUGUAACACCUUUGAAAUACUAAUUCUAAACCAAGAACAAGAAUUGUCCAACUUUGAUCCAGGAAAUAUCAAGCUAACGCUUAAAAUCAUCCGAUUCCGUUCGCUUAAUGAUAGCUAAUGAUUUAUCUCUUUCGAUCCUGUCGAACUUUAAGGACAGACUUAAUAAUAGUCAAAUAGAAAAAGUAAAUUGUGCGAUAGUGUUACAACAUUCAUAGUUAUAGAUGCAUAGGUGCACACACCGCAAACGUUUAUUGGUCGACGAGAGAACGUUCUUUCUCGAUUGGUUACUUUGCAAAGUGUAUCACGAUCGUAUCAACCUAAAACUCUAAACCAUAUAUCAGACAUAUGUAUAUACAUACGUAUAUACGAAUGCAUUGGGAUGCCUCAUUGGAAUGCAUAUGAAUGCAUGCGGUACGACUAUCGCCGAAUUGAAUUGCGUGUUUCCUCUAAAAGAACGUUUCUCCUUCGAAAUACGAUUUUUAUAUACGAUCAAAGAGCAAAAAUCAAUCUUAACAUUCUACUUCUUCUUUUCUACAUUGGAAACUAGAAUUUAGCAUAACAAGUUUCACCGUAGAGAAUGUUUUUUAAUAGCUAACACAACAUAUUACGAUGCAUUCCGUGACAUGUAAAUUAUGCAUAAAUUUCCUGAACGAACAUACAUAUACAUGUACAUAUACAUAUAUAUAUAUACAUAUAUAUUCUAGCCAAAACAUUUAAAAAAUUAUCUACAAAGAUAUGAUAUCUCUUUAUUGUACUUCUUAAAGAUUAUCAACAUUCCUCUAGAGUAAGAAAAAAAUUAAAAAAAGAACAAAGAAAGAAAAGAAAGAUUUUUUUUUUAUUGGGCGCGGUCGGAUAUCAACAAAUUUUUCUAUAUGAUCGAUCAUCUUGAUAUAGAUACAAACUUGUAAACAAUGUAACGAAACAUAAAUAAACUUCACCUUCGCGACGCUUGUUUAUUAGCAACGGAUUUGAAAGAUGUGAAAUACAUGUCGCUUCUCCCUCCCUCUCUCUCUCUCUCUCUCUCUCUCUCUCUCUCUCUCACACUCUCUCAGGAUUGUUUACAAUACUAGUUUAGCGCAAACAGCUGGAAAGUGAAGGACAUAACCUACCGCUUUAGAUUUUUUUCAAUGUACUAUAAAGGAUCGCAUAUUGAUGUAAAUAAGUGAUCGUCUUUUUUGUUUACCUUUGUACAGUCUGCCAGGUAACGUGAGACUUCGCUCGUCGAAUAAAUCGUAUGCGUUAUACGAAACUCUUGUUCUCUUUGUUUUUCUCGUGUAUCUACACCUAAGUUCUAGUGUACUAUUAAUGAUCACGCUCCACUACAUUUCGUUGAUUUUCGAACGAUGAACUCUUUCUACAAAUCGACGUAAUUUUUCUUCUUGAAUGAUUCUCGAAUACACAUAGCAUCUCGAUUCACAAAGAAGCAGUAAGAAUGGCAUACAUAUGUCAAGUAUGCUCUGAACUGUACGGCGAAACGUAUGUUACUAUCCGCCGUUCCAA
Molecule: long non-coding RNA, 3089 nt
Organism: Vespa mandarinia (Asian giant hornet)
Lineage: Eukaryota; Metazoa; Arthropoda; Insecta; Hymenoptera; Vespidae
Source: RefSeq, a predicted model, not a curated record